UCGAACGGUAACAUUGGUGCUUGCACCAGAUGACGAGUGGCGGACGGGUGCGUAACGCGUAUGCAACCUACCUUUUACUAGAGAAUAGCCCAGAGAAAUUUGGAUUAAUCCUCUAUAAUAUCAUUAAAUCACAUGUUUUUUUGAUUAAAGUUUUAACGGUAAAAGAUGGGCAUGCGUCUUAUUAGUUUGUAGGUGAGGUAACGGCUCACCUAGACUACGAUAAGUAGGGGCCCUGAGAGGGGGAUCCCCCACACUGGUACUGAGACACGGACCAGACUCCUACGGGAGGCAGCAGUAAGGAAUAUUGGACAAUGGACGAAAGUCUGAUCCAGCCAUGCCGCGUGCAGGAUGACUGCCCUAUGGGUUGUAAACUGCUUUUAUACAGGAAGAAACACUCCGACGUGUCGGAGCUUGACGGUACUGUAAGAAUAAGGAUCGGCUAACUCCGUGCCAGCAGCCGCGGUAAUACGGAGGAUCCAAGCGUUAUCCGGAAUCAUUGGGUUUAAAGGGUCCGCAGGCGGUCUUUUAAGUCAGGGGUGAAAUCCUACAGCUCAACUGUAGAACGGCCUUUUGAUACUGAAAGACUUG
This 588-nucleotide ribosomal RNA is filed under the name uncultured marine bacterium. RNAcentral describes it as "bacterial SSU rRNA". It matches the Rfam family "Bacterial small subunit ribosomal RNA", at positions 62 to 644 of the family's 1533-position model. The record is from RNAcentral.